This is a long non-coding RNA of Macadamia integrifolia, 374 nucleotides long. RefSeq lists it as uncharacterized. The transcript is spliced from 2 exons. The record is from RefSeq and is a predicted model, not a curated record. Lineage: Eukaryota; Viridiplantae; Streptophyta; Magnoliopsida; Proteales; Proteaceae.
AAGAGAAGGGAGAAAGAAGAAAGGAGAAAGGAGAAGAAGGAGGAGGAGGAGGAGGAGGAGGGAAGUAAGGGAGAAGAAGGAGGUUGGAGCAAGAGAGGGACCACCUCCACUCACCCCAAAUUAAGGAGCAGAAGGUGAAAGCAGAGGCAACAAAGAGAGAUGGAGAAGGUGGUGUGGGUGUUGGUGGGGAUCCAACAAAGAAAUUGAGAGGAUACUUGUGCAGCAGCCUCAUUGAGUGACAGAAAAACAUGAAAUCACAUUGCAUUUCCCAACAAUCUCAAUGGGUAGAGUAAGAUUGAGAGAGGGAAUUUGAGAUUGUAAUAUUUGAAUAACUAUUAAUUAAUAAAGGAGAAUCUAGAUGGAAGUUUUGUCUA